Long non-coding RNA from Dalotia coriaria, 639 nucleotides. RefSeq lists it as uncharacterized. Lineage: Eukaryota; Metazoa; Arthropoda; Insecta; Coleoptera; Staphylinidae. The record is from RefSeq and is a predicted model, not a curated record. The transcript has 2 exons.
AACACGACACCUAUUUGUCAUCGAUCGCUUCCAUGCGUGGCAUGUUUCAUUCAUUAUCCGACAUUUGUGCUUCUACAAAUCAAGCCGGCCACAUCCAUAUUCCAUAUUUCGUGGUAUUCCACAGUGAAAGUCUUCUGGGAUGCGUUUGAUACGGGUGGUGAGAUAAUUGGGAACUGUGUCCAACGUGUAAAAAUGAUGAGGUGCGUUGAUUUAUCGGUUUCAUUAAGUCAAAAGGAUGGAGUCGAAGGACUUAAAAUGUUUUGUUGUUGAUGACAUGGACGUAUCUCAUGUGAUGGUAUGUGCACCUUGCUUGGAGGACCUGGAAGGUGAUGGUGUUACAGUUGAAUAAUAUUUGACACUGAUACAGUCUUUGUUUUACGUCGGAUUAAUUAAUUACUUGGUGCUGAUCAAGAUACUGUUUGAAAUAGCGAUUGAUAAAUGAAUACAAAAACCCCUAACAUGCAACGACUCAGGAAAAAUCAAGAUUCAGAUUGAUUUUCUUCGUGCUUUGAUCUUCAUGGAGUACCUUCCUUCAAAUUUUGUUGGUGUGUCUAACUUAGGCGCUGGCUUGCAACAUCACACAUCGCGAUGUGAUUGUGUGACUGUUAAUAGUUUAAUUAAAAUUAAUGAUGAACGCUU